GGGAAAGCACGCUCUGUCGGCUUCGUACUCUCUGUUUCCUCCAUAUUUGCUCUGCUUAUUUUCUAUCUAAAUCAGUCUUCCUAUUCAAGAAAUGAUUAUAACUAGACUGAGUCACUGCCUUGUCUAUAUCUCUCUCUCCGCUAGAACAGCCCAUUAGCCUCCUCUCCCUCACUCACCCUUUUCUACGAAGGAAAAAGCGAGGAUGGUAAUUGGCGUGAUGGAUGAUCUUGGUGAAAAGAAAUCAUUGCAUGAUGAUGAACAGGACAAGAGUAUUGAGAUAAAGAAUUCUUGUACCGUCUGCAAAACUACCAAGACACCAUUGUGGAGAAGUGGACCUGCUGGGCCCAAGGUGCAAUAUUCAUUCUCUCUGCUCAUUUUUCUCUGUUUCAUUCUGUUCUUUGGGUUUUUGGUCUCUGUAUUUCACUUGAAUCCCCUGUUUACCACUGCCCAUUAUAUUUUUGUGGAUACCCAAUUGAUUUUUCAUUUGGAUCUAUGAUUUUAACUGCUAGACUGUGACUUGUACUUUUGAUUUCAUGGUCUGGGUGGGUUUUGGAUUUUGGUAUUUUCAGUCACUGUGCAACGCUUGUGGGAUCAGAUACAGAAAGAAACGAAGAUCAAUUUUGAGGUUAGACGAGGAUUCAGAGAAGAAAAAGAGAAGCCAUUGCACCACCCUCACAAGUACCGCUGUAAAUAGCAGCACCAGUGCGACCUCGGUCAAUAGCGUUAAUGGUAAUGAAUUGGGGGAGUCAUUGAAGAUAAGACUAAUCGUAGAGGGUGGGAAAAGGAAAUUUGAAAUAUCAUCAGUUGUAAAGAAACAGACCUGCCAGCGGAGAAGGGAGCUGGAAGAAGAAGAACAGGCUGCUUUUUCUUUAAUGGCAUUGUCUUGUGAUUCUUUUUUUGCAUGUAAUAGGAAAAGAUAAAAUACAGAGUGGAUUUGAUGUUAAACUGCAAACCAACCCUGCCCCGCAUACCUUUUCUUUGUCCUUUUUAGAUUAUCAUCCAUGACCUUUCUUCUUCUUCUUCUCCAUUUUCAGAGGAAGAUGGUGAAGAAUGGUGAUAUCGUGUGUACACAGAAUUUUCUGAAUAAUGAAGGAAUAUAUGUUUCUCAG
This 1109-nucleotide unclassified non-coding RNA is filed under the name Hevea brasiliensis (rubber tree). Lineage: Eukaryota; Viridiplantae; Streptophyta; Magnoliopsida; Malpighiales; Euphorbiaceae. The record is from RNAcentral.